GAUGAACGCUGGCGGCGUGCCUAAUACAUGCAAGUCGCGCGAAGCGGGGACGGGGGAGUAACACGUGGAGAACCUCCUAUAUGCCUGGGAUACCUUCGUGCAACCGGCGAUAAACCGGAUACUUAUAACUGGAUCCACGCUGAAUUACCUCGUUGGUAAGGUAACGGCUUACCAAUGCACCGAUGCAUAGCCGACCCGAGAGUGUGAUCGGCCACAAUGGAACGUAGACACGGUCCAGAAUCCGACGGGAGGCAGAAGUAGGGAAGCGUCCGCAAUGGGCGAAAGCCUGACGGAGCAACGCCGCGUGAGUGAUGAAGGUCUUCGGAUCGUAAAACUCUGUUAUUAGGGAAGCGGUACCUAAUCAGAAAGCCACGGCUAACUACGUGCCAGCAGCCGCGGUAAUUC
Molecule: ribosomal RNA, 405 nt
Filed under: uncultured bacterium
Lineage: Bacteria
Description: partial 16S ribosomal RNA
Rfam family: Bacterial small subunit ribosomal RNA
Source: RNAcentral